AAAUAGUGGGAAGACUUCUAGGU
RNAcentral lists this non-coding RNA (23 nucleotides) under Cricetulus griseus (Chinese hamster). The record is from RNAcentral. Lineage: Eukaryota; Metazoa; Chordata; Mammalia; Rodentia; Cricetidae.